GUACACUCCUGCGGGAGGCAGCAGUGGGGAAUAUUGGACAAUGGGCGCAAGCCUGAUCCAGCCAUGCCGCGUGAGUGAUGAAGGCCCUAGGGUUGUAAAGCUCUUUCACCGGUGAAGAUAAUGACGGUAACCGGAGAAGAAGCCCCGGCUAACUUCGUGCCAGCAGCCGCGGUAAUACGAAGGGGGCUAGCGUUGUUCGGAUUUACUGGGCGUAAAGCGCACGUAGGCGGACUAUUAAGUCAGGGGUGAAAUCCCGGGGCUCAACCCCGGAACUGCCUUUGAUACUGGUAGUCUUGAGUUCGAGAGAGGUGAGUGGAAUUCCGAGUGUAGAGGUGAAAUUCGUAGAUAUUCGGAGGAACACCAGUGGCGAAGGCGGCUCACUGGCUCGAUACUGACGCUGAGGUGCGAAAGCGUGGGGAGCAAACAGGAUUAGAAACCCCGGUAGUCCC
RNAcentral lists this ribosomal RNA (449 nucleotides) under uncultured organism. RNAcentral's name for it is "partial 16S ribosomal RNA". It matches the Rfam family "Bacterial small subunit ribosomal RNA", at positions 331 to 797 of the family's 1533-position model. The record is from RNAcentral.